UCUCUGUUGUCUCAGGCAGCGAAGUAUUUG
RNAcentral lists this non-coding RNA (30 nucleotides) under Rattus norvegicus (Norway rat). The record is from RNAcentral. Lineage: Eukaryota; Metazoa; Chordata; Mammalia; Rodentia; Muridae.